RNAcentral lists this long non-coding RNA (1144 nucleotides) under Phasianus colchicus (ring-necked pheasant). Its description in RNAcentral is "lncRNA (ENSPCLG00000000776.1)". The record is from RNAcentral. Lineage: Eukaryota; Metazoa; Chordata; Aves; Galliformes; Phasianidae.
AUGAUAUGGUCUGUUUCCUGGCAGAGCACAAGGCUCCACACACUCUUGCUUCCAGGAUCCCCAGAGGGCUGCUGGAAGUGUCAGUCAUUCCUCAAAAUCCAGCCUUGUGGCUUCGCGCAGGAAGUGGCUUUGCUUAGCCCCUCACGCACCUUUGCCCAGCAAUUCACACAGCAGGAUGGGAUCUUCCUGCCCCGCUUACCCUGCCUUUGGCCAAAGGACAAAGGAUUCAGGGACCCAAGUGUCAGAGGAAGUCAGCAUUGGGAAGCAUCACUUACGAGUGGGAGGACAACGCUGUGGCUGAGCAUCUUGCUGGGACAUCAGUGUACGAGGCUUCUGCUCCAGCCACAGGUUCCUCAGCACAACAGAGGCCAUGCAGGUGCAUGAACACAGCAGGAGUGUACCAGAUGUGUUGCUGUCAACAGCUGUUUGUCUUUGUCCAGAACCAUGUCCCAGUGCCUCCUUGGAUUUCAUUUUUCUGGAUGCUUUCAGGAAGAAUGGGGACAACUAUUAAGUGUCCAGGCCCCCAGCAGCAGGGACACAUCAGUAAAUGGAAGUAACUCAAGGAAGUAAAUAGUUGACCCAGGCUGUCUUCAGAACUGCCCUGACUAUUUUGUGAGGGCCCUCGCUCCUAAGAACUGGCAUCAGUGAAGGAUAGGGAAUGGGAUUGAUUUUAAAUUCCCCACUUGGAAAGUAAAUACCAAAGUCACAAGCUGCUGUCACUUUUGGUACCUUGCAGGGACUGGCCAUGUCAAACACGAUUAGCACACGCCAGGGAAAGAUGGACCUUCUCUCCCAGUAUUUACUGCAUCUUCUGUCCAGCAUCCUCUCGCAGCACUGAGCAGAGAUGGUUAUGUGUCAGCUCCAGGGAUGACACUGCCACUGUGUAGCAUAGUUCCUGGACACUAAUCAUUAUUUUUAACACUACAUGUGUGCCGGGGUAUUUUAGUGUGCAAGGAUGUGCAGUGCCGAGUUAGAUCAGAGAAUGAUCAGAUUAUUUUUCCAUAAAGUAAGAGCUUUGCAAAUUUCAGGCUUGGAUAAAUAAUUACUGCUCUUUUUUAAAGGUUUUUAUUUACAAGAGCAUCAAAAUGAAAGUGACAGCAGUGACAGCAAGUAAAUUACCACUGCCUAAUUGGGCCCAAAGAUA